This 447-nucleotide unclassified non-coding RNA is filed under the name uncultured Tricholomataceae. RNAcentral's name for it is "sequence contains ITS2". The stretch from base 1 to 154 matches the Rfam family "5.8S ribosomal RNA". The record is from RNAcentral. Lineage: Eukaryota; Fungi; Basidiomycota; Agaricomycetes; Agaricales; Tricholomataceae.
AACUUUCAACAACGGAUCUCUUGGCUAUCGCAUCGAUGAAGAACGCAGCGAAAUGCGAUAAGUAAUGUGAAUUGCAGUAUUCAGUGAAUCAUCGAAUCUUUGAACGCACCUUGCGCACCUUGGUAUUCCGAGGAGCAUGCUUGUUUGAGUGUCAUUAAAUUCUCAACCCUGUCAAAGUUGUUAUUCUACUUUGAAGUAGGGCUUGGAUUUGGGUGUUGCAGGCUUUUUAAUAGUCGGCUCUCCUUAAAAGUAUUAGCGGAACUUUUUGUAAGCCGUCUACAUAGUGUGAUAAUUAUCUACGCUAUUGAUGUUGCUUACGCUAAUAUCAUAAAAGUUCAGCUUCUAAUAGUCCAUCUUGGACAAUAUCAAUAUUUAUAUUGAUGACCAUUUGACCUCAAAUCAAGUAGGACUACCCGCUGAACUUAAGCAUAUCAAUAAGCGGAGGCC